UACAGAGGUGGCAAGCGUUGUUCGGAAUUACUGGGCGUAAAGCGCGCGCAGGCGGUUUCUCAAGUCAGUGGUGAAAGCCCGGAGCUCAACUCCGGAACUGCCAUUGAAACUGUGAAAGUUGAGGACGAGAGAGGUGAGUGGAAUUCCCAGUGUAGAGGUGAAAUUCGUAGAUAUUGGGAAGAACACCGGUGGCGAAGGCGGCUCACUGGCUCGUUUCUGACGCUCAGGCGCGACAGCGUGGGGAUCAAACAGG
This 253-nucleotide ribosomal RNA is filed under the name uncultured bacterium. RNAcentral describes it as "partial 16S ribosomal RNA". It matches the Rfam family "Bacterial small subunit ribosomal RNA", at positions 524 to 776 of the family's 1533-position model. The record is from RNAcentral.